RNAcentral lists this ribosomal RNA (253 nucleotides) under uncultured bacterium. RNAcentral describes it as "partial 16S ribosomal RNA". It matches the Rfam family "Bacterial small subunit ribosomal RNA", at positions 524 to 776 of the family's 1533-position model. The record is from RNAcentral.
UACAGGGGGGGCAAGCGUUGUUCGGAAUUACUGGGCGUAAAGGGCUCGUAGGUGGCCAACUAAGUCAGACGUGAAAUCCCUCGGCUUAACCGGGGAACUGCGUCUGAUACUGGAUGGCUUGAGUGUGGGAGAGGGAUGCGGAAUUCCAGGUGUAGCGGUGAAAUGCGUAGAUAUCUGGAGGAACACCGGUGGCGAAGGCGGCAUCCUGGACCAUUACUGACACUGAAUAGCGAAAGCCAGGGGAGCAAACGGG